RNAcentral lists this long non-coding RNA (206 nucleotides) under Prunus persica (peach). RNAcentral's name for it is "long non-coding RNA (PPER_LNC007127)". Lineage: Eukaryota; Viridiplantae; Streptophyta; Magnoliopsida; Rosales; Rosaceae. The record is from RNAcentral.
UGGGAUAUGUGAUCAGUUGCCCCACUAUCCACUAUCCAAUAUAGAGUGGAGUGAGAUGCACGUACUGUGUUAUAACAUGUAGGGGUAACAAUACAUGUGGCAUUAGCAAAAGGUGGUGUAUUACCAUUCUCUUUGCGAAGCAGCGCCAUGAGUUAAGUGUACUCCUCUGUGGUGAAUGCGGGCUUCUCAUUAGGAGUGGUAGUCGG